GGAGCUUGCUCCCUGAUGUUAGCGGCGGACGGGUGAGUAACACGUGGGUAACCUGCCUGUAAGACUGGGAUAACUCCGGGAAACCGGGGCUAAUACCGGAUGGUUGUUUGAACCGCAUGGUUCAGACAUAAAAGGUGGCUUCGGCUACCACUUACAGAUGGACCCGCGGCGCAUUAGCUAGUUGGUGAGGUAACGGCUCACCAAGGCGACGAUGCGUAGCCGACCUGAGAGGGUGAUCGGCCACACUGGGACUGAGACACGGCCCAGACUCCUACGGGAGGCAGCAGUAGGGAAUCUUCCGCAAUGGACGAAAGUCUGACGGAGCAACGCCGCGUGAGUGAUGAAGGUUUUCGGAUCGUAAAGCUCUGUUGUUAGGGAAGAACAAGUGCCGUUCAAAUAGGGCGGCACCUUGACGGUACCUAACCAGAAAGCCACGGCUAACUACGUGCCAGCAGCCGCGGUAAUACGUAGGUGGCAAGCGUUGUCCGGAAUUAUUGGGCGUAAAGGGCUCGCAGGCGGUUUCUUAAGUCUGAUGUGAAAGCCCCCGGCUCAACCGGGGAGGGUCAUUGGAAACUGGGGAACUUGAGUGCAGAAGAGGAGAGUGGAAUUCCACGUGUAGCGGUGAAAUGCGUAGAGAUGUGGAGGAACACCAGUGGCGAAGGCGACUCUCUGGUCUGUAACUGACGCUGAGGAGCGAAAGCGUGGGGAGCGAACAGGAUUAGAUACCCUGGUAGUCCACG
RNAcentral lists this ribosomal RNA (740 nucleotides) under Bacillus tequilensis. RNAcentral describes it as "bacterial SSU rRNA". It matches the Rfam family "Bacterial small subunit ribosomal RNA", at positions 75 to 799 of the family's 1533-position model. RNAcentral also lists the same sequence under 1 other name. The record is from RNAcentral. Lineage: Bacteria; Bacillati; Bacillota; Bacilli; Caryophanales; Bacillaceae.